ACAUUUUGCCAUUCAAUAGUCCCCCCUAUCCGUUAAUACGCGCGAGCCUCUUCCAGUGACCUCUCUAGCAAGAAGAAAAAGGAAAAUCCAUCAUGCCACCGUUACUCCGCCUCACGUCGACGUCCAUCUCCCCCCCACCUUUCCCUCCAAAACCAUCGAUCUCAAACCACAACCUCUUAUCCAAAUGCCACCACCAUCUUCCAUCUCCGAUCGAGAUAUCUAGAAGAGACGCUGCUUUGCUCUCGGUACUCGCUCUCGUCUCUUCCCUAUCGCAGCCUGCUCCUGCUACCGCCUUUUCCAUCGGCAUUUCAGGACCUAAGGACUGGCUUAAAGAGCAAAAGAAAAAGUCCUCGAAGUUUCUAUUGGCACCUAUUGAUGCCUCCAGAGAAAUCCUUCGCUCUGCCUAUCUUCUACUCACGGCGAGUGAAUCGGGAUAUUCGAAUAAGGAGUUACAGGAAGUACAAACGCUAUUGAGAUCUGCUGCGAGGGAUUGUGUUCCACAAGAUAGGAAUUCUUUCGUGGCUUUUCAGGCCAAUACUGGAGUCGAGGUCUGCACGUUUCGAUUAAUUGUGAAGAAUGCAGCUUCAUUGCUUGAUAAAAAGGAUCCUGUAAAGUUGGAAGCUGAAGUUAUGUUGAAUGAUCUUAUAAGAUCUUUUACUUCUCUUACUGGUCUUGCAAAUGAAGCUAAUAUUCUAAUUGCUUCCGAUAGAAAGGAGAUAGCUGAUGCACUCAUGAAGACUCUGUCUUCUCUAAACAAAUUUGAGCAGGGUGUGAAGGAUUGCCUUGAAGUGUAACGAUUUUGCAUUCACGCCAAAAUUAAUAUAUUCAGAUGAAAAAUACAACUUCUGACACAAACAGAAUCUGCUUUGGGCGUCACGACUGAAGUUGAGUUGCUUCACACGCCCAAGACUCUCUGAUCAAGUGGUGUAAUGAAGUUCAAGCUUUGUGGAAAACUAGAUUUCUUCUCUUUGUGGUUUGUUUCUUAAUAUAUAUAUAUAUAUACACACACACACACACACACACACACACAUACACACACACACAUUUAGAGAGAGAGAGAGAGAGAGAGAGAGAGAGAUUGGGUUAGCCUUCGCAUAGCUUCAUUUUUUCCAAUUGUGGAGAAUGUGGUGGGAAGUGGGAAUGAUUUCCCUUUUCUUCCCCCUCUUUCAGUUAUCCCAUGCUGAACCGAUCACCUUUUUCUCCUCCAUUUGCUUUACUAAGGAAAGAAGUUUGAUAAUUAGAAGAUUCUGCAAAAAACUUUUCCUAUCAUGAGUAAAGUAUAUUCUAAGACAUGUUUGUUUGGGAGAAAAUCUGAUGUAUCUGGCAUAUACUUGGUGAGUUGCUUGGAGAACCAAACACUCAGCUCAAAUGAAAUAUGUAUGCCUUAGGCAAUACAAAAUUAGUGAUGCUUAUAUCUAUAUUAUAAUGGAAGGUGGAUACCUAUCAUUUAUACAAUAUGGCCAAUUGAUUCUUUCUAUUGAUUAGUUUAAUCAGGCAAACCAGAUGCCUGCACCAAAUACAACCGACAGCAAGGUUUUCCAUCAUCAGGAUAGGUCUGCACUGAUCUUGGCAAGCUACGAAGCUUGUUGAACAGAUUUAAUGGGUUAUCUAGGAGACCAAAAUGAGCAUCGGGAUCACCAAUCUGUGAAAGCUUUACAUUGGAAAAUCCUAUGGAUGGCAAAAGAUGAUCCGGCCAAUCACUAUAGAAAUGGAAGAUAGAAUUCGAUAGAGUGGUGGAUGGUUUAUUCAUGAAAUCUGCCAAGAGAACUGUGUGGGCAAGGGCACACUUGUCAGCUAUGAUCUUCAGCACUUGCAUGGCGUGGGUGUGGGAGAGGUAGUAGAGGAUACCUUCUAGCACCCAGACUGUGUUCUUCUGUGGCACAAACCCUGAUAUCUGUAGUUUUUCGAGCCAGUCAUUUUUGCUGAUGUCAGCUGCUACUCUGUUUAGGGAUUCUGCUAUCAUUUGUGGGCGCUGCUGAUCAUCUAUUGAUUCCAUGGCUGCCUGUAGAAGAGUUGUUUUCAUUCCUAAGACUUCUGGAAAAUCAACUUCAAAGACACUGCUGUCCUUCAAGCAGCUUAGACGGGUUUACAUGUGAUUCUGGUUCUGCAUGUAUGGAAAACUUGUGAAAACAGCAAGUGUGGGAACCAGUCAUUUGCUUCAUUGGGACACAAUAUUAUAACUGAAGCACAUAUGAAGAUGCAUCACAUCUACCAUUACUCUUGGCUAUACACUAUCCUAAUGGUCCGAGUUGGAAGUAAGCAAGACUUAUGACCCUGUUUAAUGCCUGCAUUGCUUACAGACAUGAGUAUGAUUAGAAUAUGUCAAGAACUAGGCUAGAGAGCACCAACCUGCGCCAAGAAGAACAACCUGUGCUUCUCCAUUGAAAGAACGGAGUGCAGCUUCAAGUUUUGAAUCAAACCAGAGGGUUCGAACCGCAAGAAGUACUCCUGAAAUUUCCCGAGCAUUGUUGAGCUGGUCAUUCUUUAUCUUUUCGUGAAGGUUUCUGAGGUAUGUUUCUCCUGCUAGCAGGUCUGCAAGUGGGUCAUGGAUCACGUGUUUCCACAGAGCUCUUCCAGCUGCCGUUUGGCAUGCUGAUCGUCUCAAAGGAUCCCACUCAUGUUGGAUUGAUGCAUGGAGUUUUUGAACUGAAUCAGGAAACUUGAAGACUAAUAAAAUAUAAUUGUGUGAGAGAGCAUAUAUUAUUUAAAGGGAAGAAUCAGGCAUCGCUGCUAGAGAUAAGAAAAGAGAGCCACACAAACAACCAACGCUCGAGAAUUGAGCAAAAAUCGUAUCCAGCUUCUCUGCCUUGAGAAAAAAAAAUAAAAGGAAGGCAGCAAUUUAGUCCACGAGGUCUAAAUUUCUUUUUGCCUGACCCUUCCUUUUCCGCUGUAUGUUUUGGUUGCACAAAUAGCAAUAGAUUGUGAAAUGAUCCCACUAGUACAAUACACCCCUAUUAUCAGGAUUUGGGUGGCUCUCAACUCCCUUUGUUGGAUUGCACUGUCCAAACAAGUACUCGUCUUUUUGGUCACAUACAGCAACUCAACUAACUAGCAGGAGCAAAGUCCCAGUCCCAUCCUAGGACGGUGACAAUAUAGCUGGCAAAAGAAUAGGUUUCAAAGAGGAUUACAUUCGUAAUUGAGUGGUUCUGUUCGAGACGAGGAGCCAAUUUUGAAAUUCAUUGCUGGUAAAAUAUAACGCCAUUGAAACGAUCUUUUAGAUAUUUACUUGAUAUAUUUUGUGCUAUCCUUGUUAUUGGACAUAUACUAGAGAUGAUACUUGUUAGCGUGGUCCCAGGUAAGAAUUUAUUGCAGCAGCUGCUAAUUUAUAUUUUACUGCCAUCAAAGUUCAAACUCAUAAUUUCAGUCUUAAAUAUCUGGAUAUUAAUUCUCAUUUAUUUAAUUAUUAAUGAAUUUGGUGUUGCAUGGUUAUUUUUAUGAAAAGCCAAGACAUUCUGCGGUGGCCGCUGAUGGUCCGCCCAUUUCAGGUGUUUUAAUCCUUUCUCUUGCCCGAGUGGGGACGGACAGAUUGCCAUUUGCUGAGUUGGGUUGCUCGUCAUUAUUACUGUAACCGUACCAUGAGAACUAUGAGGAGUUCAUCAGCCAAAUAAUGUAAUGAUUGGAUAAGGAUUUCUCUUUUCUUAUAAAAAGUGAAUGUACACGUGGCUUUCCAUU
This is an RNA transcript of Ricinus communis (castor bean), 3672 nucleotides long. RefSeq lists it as uncharacterized. Lineage: Eukaryota; Viridiplantae; Streptophyta; Magnoliopsida; Malpighiales; Euphorbiaceae. The record is from RefSeq and is a predicted model, not a curated record. The transcript has 9 exons.